CGGUGUUUAACUGGCGUGAUGUGGGACGUCCUACCGGUGGGCUUAGCCUCGCGAGGGGCGGCCCAACUAAUAUCCCGUCGCGGUGCUCUUUACUGAGUGUCGAGUCGGGCCGGUACGUUUACUUUGAACAAAUUAGAGUGCUUAAAGCAGGCUAUCCUCGCCUGAAUACUGCGUGCAUGGAAUAAUGGAAUAGGACCUCGGUUCUAUUUUGUUGGUUUUCGGAACCCCGAGGUAAUGAUUAAUAGGGACAGAUGGGGGCAUUCGUAUUGCGACGUUAGAGGUGAAAUUCUUGGAUCGUCGCAAGACGGACAGAAGCGAAAGCAUUUGCCAAAAAUGUUUUCAUUAAUCAAGAACGAAAGUUAGAGGUUCGAAGGCGAUCAGAUACCGCCCUAGUUCUAACCAUAAACGAUGCCAGCUAGCGAUCCGCCGAAGUUCCUCCGAUGGCUCGGCGGGCAGCUUCCGGGAAACCAAAGCUUUUGGGUUCCGGGGGAAGUAUGGUUGCAAAGCUGAAACUUAAAGGAAUUGACGGAGGGGCACCACCAGGAGUGGAGCCUGCGGCUUAAUUUGACUCAACACGGGAAACCUCACCAGGCCCAGACACCGGAAGGAUUGACAGAUUGAUAGCUCUUUCUUGAUUCGGUGGGUGGUGGUGCAUGGGCCGUUUUUAGUUGGUGGAGCGAUUUGUCUGGUUAAUUCCGAUAACGAACGAGACUCUAGCCUGCUAAAUAGGCGUACCUUAUGGUAUCGCGAAGGCCCCCGGCUUCGGCCGGUGGGUUUUUACUACCAACGUACAAACAAAUCUUCUUAGAGGGACAGGCGG
RNAcentral lists this ribosomal RNA (820 nucleotides) under uncultured eukaryote. RNAcentral describes it as "SSU rRNA". It matches the Rfam family "Eukaryotic small subunit ribosomal RNA", at positions 629 to 1426 of the family's 1831-position model. The record is from RNAcentral.